RNAcentral lists this ribosomal RNA (432 nucleotides) under uncultured bacterium. Its description in RNAcentral is "partial 16S ribosomal RNA". It matches the Rfam family "Bacterial small subunit ribosomal RNA", at positions 29 to 507 of the family's 1533-position model. The record is from RNAcentral.
AACGAACGCUGGCGGCAGGCCUAACACAUGCAAGUCGAGCGGACCCUUCGGGGUUAGCGGCGGACGGGUGAGUAACGCGUGGGAAUAUGCCCUUCUCUACGGAAUAGUCCUGGGAAACUGGGGGUAAUACCGUAUACGCCCUUUGGGGGAAAGAUUUAUCGGGGAAGGAUUAGCCCGCGUUGGAUUAGGUAGUUGGUGGGGUAAUGGCCUACCAAGCCGACGAUCCAUAGCUGGUUUGAGAGGAUGAUCAGCCACACUGGGACUGAGACACGGCCCAGACUCCUACGGGAGGCAGCAGUGGGGAAUCUUAGACAAUGGGGGCAACCCUGAUCUAGCCAUGCCGCGUGAGUGAUGAAGGCCUUAGGGUUGUAAAGCUCUUUCAGCUGGGAAGAAAUGACGGUACCAGCAGAAGAAGCCCCGGCUAACUCCGUG